ACAGCUUGUUGUGGUGGCAACGGUGUCCUUAAUGGAGCUUGCAGUACGGGCAGCCUCAUUACACUAAUCCAUGCACACAGGCUCCAAACACAUCCCCUUCCAGCUGAAAGAGCAGGUAAACACCAGCUGGGAGGACAUGGCGCGCUCAGCAGAGUUAGAGGGAAAGCACCCCAGCCUGGAAUUACAGGCUGAGGAUUUGGACCAGCAAACCCUGUGAGCAAGUUCUGGAGCUGGGGAACAGCUCCAGGGUAUGAUCCAGCUGGGGCCAGCGCCCAUGAAACACAUCAGCCUUUGCAGUGACAGCCCCAGACCCUCCAGUGGCUUCCUGCUCCCUCCUGAAGGGCUUUGGAGACCAAGACUGCUGCUCUGCCAUUUGACUUCCAGGCUUCCAGGAAAGGUUGAGUGUGGGCAACAGAGUCAGCCAGUACUACUGUCACUCUGCUAUGCCUCCCUUCCUAGGGAGCCUAUAGUCUGCUGGAGUAUGCACCUGGCCUGCUCUGGAAUCACUCUACACAUCACCGUCAUCUGAAUUAACCUUCAAGUGAAAGCAAGGCCUGAGAGAGAGCUGGUAGGGGCCAAAUGGGCAGCAUCUGCUAUCCCUGCAGAAGAUGGAAAUGAAUCAGAGUUUGGGGACUACAGCAAGAGAGUGGGCACAGAGCGGAAGGUUUCGUCAAUCCUUGGCACAGAACAGCCAAUGCCAAAAAGAGCCACCAGUGGCUUCUUGCGUGAAGGCUCCCGUCCAGAACAACGGGAAGUGCCAAAGCAAAUUGGCUGCUUCCUUUUGGCUAAUAGCUACCAUCUUUCUGCCAAAGGAAUCAGCUUACAAAGCUAUGGGUCAACACAGAUAUUUUAGGAUCCCAUCUCCAACAUGGGCCAGUGAGAAGCAAAGAGCCGCCUUCUCUCCCCAUGUGCUGUCCUGGGCUGAUCUACUCAACUCUGCUACCAAGUUGAGUACAGGGGUUUUAAAUUUCUUCUGUGUGUGUGUGUGUGUGUGUGUGUGUGUGUGUGUGUGUGUGUGUGUGUGUGUGUGUGUGUGUGUGUGUGUG
Alligator mississippiensis (American alligator) is the source of this 1046-nucleotide long non-coding RNA. RefSeq lists it as uncharacterized. The record is from RefSeq and is a predicted model, not a curated record. The transcript is spliced from 4 exons. Lineage: Eukaryota; Metazoa; Chordata; Crocodylia; Alligatoridae.